RNAcentral lists this ribosomal RNA (357 nucleotides) under uncultured bacterium. RNAcentral describes it as "bacterial SSU rRNA". It matches the Rfam family "Bacterial small subunit ribosomal RNA", at positions 28 to 380 of the family's 1533-position model. The record is from RNAcentral.
GAUGAACGCUAGCGGCAGGCUUAACACAUGCAAGUCGAGGGGCAGCGGUGGAGCAGCAAUGCUCUGACGGCGACCGGCGGAAGGGUGCGUAACACGUGAGCGACUUGCCCGUCACAGGGGGAUAACCGGCGGAAACGGCGACUAAUACCCCAUAUGAUGCGAUGCUGCAUGGCAUUGCAUUGAAAGAUUCAUCGGUGGCGGAUAGGCUCGCGGGACAUUAGCUAGACGGCGGGGCAACGGCCCACCGUGGCGACGAUGUCUAGGGGUUCUGAGAGGAAGGCCCCCCACACUGGGACUGAGACACGGCCCAGACUCCUACGGGAGGCAGCAGUGGGGAAUCUUCCGCAAUGGGCGAAA